GUCAUCUGAGGUGGUAGAGAUCAUGUUCACCAUGAUUCUUCAACGUGGAUGCCCACAGCGGAUACUGACAGAUCGUGGUGCAGAAUUCAAUAAUACGCUUAACUUGUAUGUUUGUAAUAAAUUGGGAAUAGAACGUAGCUUCACCAGUCCAUACCACCCACAAACCAAUGGCUUGGCUGAAAACGCUAAUAAAUCCAUAAAAAGAGCACUGCGGAAGAUGGUUGAUGACAAUGGGAGUAAUUGGGAUAAAUUACUUGAACCCAUUUUGUUUUAUUUGCGAACUAAAAUACAUGCAACAACAAAAAUUUCACCUUUCCGACUAAUGUUUGGUGAUGAUGUAGUGUUUCCAGAAGAUGUCUUAGAGAAUUACACGGUAAGUGUAUGUUAUUCCCAGCACCUUUCAUGUACACAUGGCAUUCUGUGUGCCUUCAUUUUACAAAUACAACCACUUCUCCAUUUGUUUACA
Gopherus evgoodei (Goodes thornscrub tortoise) is the source of this 466-nucleotide long non-coding RNA. RefSeq lists it as uncharacterized. The record is from RefSeq and is a predicted model, not a curated record. The transcript is spliced from 3 exons. Lineage: Eukaryota; Metazoa; Chordata; Testudines; Testudinidae.